GCCGGGCGCAGUGGCUCACACCUGUAAUCCCAGCAGCUCGGAGGCCGACACAGGAGGAUUGAGUUCAAAACCAGCCUCAUCAAUGGCAAAGUGCAAAGCAACUCUGUGAGACCCUGUCUCUA
RNAcentral lists this small RNA (122 nucleotides) under Marmota monax (woodchuck). The record is from RNAcentral. Lineage: Eukaryota; Metazoa; Chordata; Mammalia; Rodentia; Sciuridae.